UGUCACAUCAAAAUAAAGAAAUGAGAACAAUAAUGAACAAUACUUGGUGGUGGAACAAUUUACGUCAAACGUCGUGAACGAAGCUUCCUAUGGUAUUUUCAAAACUAUAAAUAUAAAAGGCUUGUC
Non-coding RNA from Flavobacterium johnsoniae, 126 nucleotides. The record is from Rfam. NCBI's taxonomy places the organism in Bacteria, Pseudomonadati, Bacteroidota, Flavobacteriia, Flavobacteriales, Flavobacteriaceae.